AACAAGGCGUACCUGCGGACCUGCGGAGGGAUCAUUACAGGACUCGCAAGACUCCUUAAACCCCUGUGAACUUACUGUUUAUACGUUGCUUCGGCGGGUGCUCCGGGGUCCGCCCCGGGGCGCUGCGCCCGCCGGCAGCCUACUUAAUUCUGUUUCUCUGCGUUGGCAUCUCGAGUAAGCAAAAUAAGUUAAAACUUUUAACAAUGGAUCU
This 211-nucleotide unclassified non-coding RNA is filed under the name soil metagenome. RNAcentral's name for it is "partial contains 5.8S ribosomal RNA, internal transcribed spacer 2, and large subunit ribosomal RNA". The record is from RNAcentral.